This 467-nucleotide ribosomal RNA is filed under the name uncultured bacterium. Its description in RNAcentral is "partial 16S ribosomal RNA". It matches the Rfam family "Bacterial small subunit ribosomal RNA", at positions 29 to 507 of the family's 1533-position model. The record is from RNAcentral.
ACGAACGCUGGCGGCGUGCUUAACACAUGCAAGUCGAACGGAAAGGCCCUGCUUUUGUGGGGUGCUCGAGUGGCGAACGGGUGAGUAACACGUGAGUAACCUGCCCUUGACUUUGGGAUAACUUCAGGAAACUGGGGCUGAUACCGGAUAGGAGCUCCUGCUGCAUGGUGGGGGUUGGAAAGUUUCGGCGGUUGGGGAUGGACUCGCGGCUUAUCAGCUUGUUGGUGGGGUAGUGGCUUACCAAGGCUUUGACGGGUAGCCGGCCUGAGAGGGUGACCGGCCACAUUGGGACUGAGAUACGGCCCAGACUCCUACGGGAGGCAGCAGUGGGGAAUAUUGCACAAUGGGCGGAAGCCUGAUGCAGCAACGCCGCGUGCGGGAUGUCGGCCUUCGGGUUGUAAACCGCUUUCGCCUGUGACGAAGCGUGAGUGACGGUAAUGGGUAAAGAAGCACCGGCUAACUACGUG